UACAGGGGUGGCAAGCGUUGUUCGGAAUUACUGGGCGUAAAGGGCGCGUAGGCGGUCUUUUAAGUCUUGUGUGAAAUCCCUCGGCUCAACUGAGGAACUGCACGGGAUACUGGAAGACUUGAGUUCGGGAGAGGGAAGCGGAAUUCCGGGUGUAGCGGUGAAAUGCGUAGAUAUCCGGAGGAACACCGGUGGCGAAGGCGGCUUCCUGGACCGAUUACUGACGCUGAGGCGCGAAAGCUAGGGGAGCAAACGGG
RNAcentral lists this ribosomal RNA (254 nucleotides) under uncultured bacterium. RNAcentral describes it as "partial 16S ribosomal RNA". It matches the Rfam family "Bacterial small subunit ribosomal RNA", at positions 524 to 776 of the family's 1533-position model. The record is from RNAcentral.